Molecule: ribosomal RNA, 253 nt
Filed under: uncultured bacterium
Lineage: Bacteria
Description: partial 16S ribosomal RNA
Rfam family: Bacterial small subunit ribosomal RNA
Source: RNAcentral
AACGUAGGACGCAAGCGUUAUCCGGAGUUACUGGGCGUAAAGCGCGGGCAGGCGGCUCGCGACGUCUGAUGUGAAAUCUCCUCGCUCAACGGGGAGAGGCCAUUGGAAACGGUCGGGCUGGAGGGCAGUAGAGGCAGGCGGAAUUCCGGGUGGAGUGGUGAAAUGCGUAGAGGUCCGGAGGAACACCAGAGGCGAAGGCGGCCUGCUGGGCUGCACCUGACGCUGAACCGCGAAAGCCAGGGGGGCGAACGGG